AACCUUAUGGACCUGCGGGCGUAUACCUGCGGAGGGAUCAUUACCGAGUAAUUGGGUCUUCUAGGCCCUAACUCACCACCCUUUUGUGUACCAAUUUACCAAUUGUUCAGUUGCUUUGGCAGGUGCUCCUCCAUUUACUUUCGGGGGACCCUGCCAUUGGAACCACUUUUAAAACUCUUGUUAUUACGUGUCUGUCUGAGUAAAAACAAAAAUUAUUAAAACUUUCAACAACGGAUCUCA
Molecule: unclassified non-coding RNA, 240 nt
Filed under: soil metagenome
Description: partial contains 5.8S ribosomal RNA, internal transcribed spacer 2, and large subunit ribosomal RNA
Source: RNAcentral